RNAcentral lists this ribosomal RNA (497 nucleotides) under uncultured bacterium. RNAcentral describes it as "partial 16S ribosomal RNA". It matches the Rfam family "Bacterial small subunit ribosomal RNA", at positions 28 to 507 of the family's 1533-position model. The record is from RNAcentral.
GAUGAACGCUGGCGGCGUGCCUAAUACAUGCAAGUCGAGCGAACGGACGAGAAGCUUGCUUCUCUGAUGUUAGCGGCGGACGGGUGAGUAACACGUGGAUAACCUACCUAUAAGACUGGGAUCACUUCGGGAAACCGGAGCUAAUACCGGAUGAUAUUUUGCACCGCAUGGUUCAAUAGUGAAAGACGGUCUUGCUGUCACUUCUAGAUGGAUCCGCGCUGCAUUAGCUAGUUGGUAAGGUAACGGCUUACCAAGGCAACGAUGCAUAGCCGACCUGAGAGGGUGAUCGGCCACACUGGAACUGAGACACGGUCCAGACUCCUACGGGAGGCAGCAGUAGGGAAUCUUACGCAAUGGGCGAAAGCCUGACGGAGCAACGCCGCGUGAGUGAUGAAGGUCUUCGGAUCGUAAAACUCUGUUAUUAGGGAAGAACAGAUGUGGAAGUAACUGUGCACAGCUUGACGGUACCUAAUCAGAAAGCCACGGCUAACUACGUG